This 278-nucleotide long non-coding RNA is filed under the name Capsella rubella. RNAcentral describes it as "long non-coding RNA (CRUB_LNC001889)". The record is from RNAcentral. Lineage: Eukaryota; Viridiplantae; Streptophyta; Magnoliopsida; Brassicales; Brassicaceae.
UCUGACCAAAGUUAACGUUGGAAAUUUUCAAAUACUGUAAUCAAAAUUUUUAACAAUGAGAAAAAGCGCACGAUUCUAAAACGUAGUAGCUGCGACAAGGUAUACAUAAAACAUGACUUUUAGGGGAAGCAAAAUCGAAAUCAAACACUUAAUUGGGUCUGUUUUUUUUUUUUUGAGAAAAUUUAUAUAUGGGUUAUCAUCACUGACUUUGCCAUCACUGUAUUGCUGCUGAAUCUUGGAUUUUGGUUUGAUCUUGUUGGAAAUAUUGUCUACACUUA